Molecule: ribosomal RNA, 253 nt
Filed under: uncultured bacterium
Lineage: Bacteria
Description: partial 16S ribosomal RNA
Rfam family: Bacterial small subunit ribosomal RNA
Source: RNAcentral
UACAUGGGGUGCAAACGUUGCUCGGAAUCAUUGGGCGUAAAGCGCGCGUAGGCGGUUACACAAGUUGGAUGUGAAAGCCCUCGGCUUAACUGAGGAAGUGCAUCCAAAACUGUGCAGCUAGAGUACUAAAGAGGGUCGCGGAAUUCCCGGUGUAGAGGUGAAAUUCGUAGAUAUCGGGAGGAACACCGGUGGCGAAGGCAAUCCCCUGGGCCUGCACUGACGCUCAUGCACGAAAGCGUGGGGAGCAAACAGG